UCUUGUUGCCGUGAACGAGAUAUUUUAGGAGGCUGGAGAGCAGAGAGCGGCUCACCCCAGGAGGAGCUCGGAGGGUUGUACGUGUCUGCGGGAACCGAGGAAAGCUCUGCCUUCUUCACCGAGCUGGAGCGUCGCUGAGUCGGGGAGAGGACGGUAGAUGUCGCGCCAAGGAGCGGAGGACAAGCACGGAGAAAAAAGAGGCUUUAACUGGGAUUUACUGACCCGCUGCUGCCGCUGGACAGAAUUAUUUAAAGGAGCCUGAGGGCGAUGUGGAGGCUCGUAUCAGCUCAGACACACUGAUUCAACCUUCAGUCAGAGAGCUGAGCGCCGACUGUGGACUGUCAGCAGCAGUAGCUCCUUCCUUGUGAGAGAGACCAAACCAUUCAACAACGUCGAAAGUUGCUUACUUCAAGAGGAAAUAUGCGGAGGAGGAGGAUUUACACGGAGGCCUACAUGGAUAUUUUCAAAAACACCUGAUACUGCAGGAAGACCGGGGCUGCAUCCUGAAGCUGUCCCUGGAGAAGCUGAGGUUCCUAGAGGACCCGGAGGCCUACCUGCGGCGCUCCGUCCUCAUCAACAACCUGCUGAGGAAGAUCCACCAUGAGGAGGAGGAGCUGGAGGCCGAAGAGGAGGAAGAAGAUGACGAAGAUGAUGACGUAGAAAUGGAAGACGAGGAAGAAGAAGAGGAGGAGGACAUUGUAGGGGAGAGGGGACAGAGACAAGUCUUGUACCCGGACAGGAAGAGGGUGAAGGUGCUAGUGAUGGACUGCUGCUCCCCGGCGUUUGGCCUGGAGGAGCUGCAGCAUUACCGGCUGGUGCCCUGUUACCCAUCGGCCGGAUGCCUGUACAGCCUGGGUACAUGCCCAGGUCUUGCCCCUAACCACCAAGUCCUUCUGUACAACCUGGACGACAAUGGGUGACUGUCCUGUCUUCACAAUCAUGCCUCAUUUUACAGUUGGGGAGUAAACGUCUGCGCAUUACAGGCAUGCAGACGUGGACAUUCUCCCCUGUUUUUUCUUGUGGGAUUUGUUCGGUUCCACCUGGCUAAGAGACAAAGAUGGAAUCAACAUACUUUAAAACCCUGAUUCUUCUUCUGCUUCAGGAUCAGCAGGGCCUCUAAUGUUGAUGUCAAAUGCAAACUGUUGUUGCAGCCACAGCAUCACUGCCGUAUAUUAAAAAUCUAGAGACCUGAAGAAGGCAGGGAAUUUUGCUGUUGAUGUUGUAUUAAUGAUUUUUAUUGUUUUUGUUGCUCAUUUAAAAUGUGAGCAUAUUCAGGGAUUUUCAGAUUGCGGGCUACUUUUUGAUGCACCUUGGCUUGUGUGGAGAAUUUUUUGCUGAUAAGCUUCUGUUAUCUUUUUAUGCUAUGGCGUGAUUUAUGAAAUAUUCUGUGUAAUGUUCCCUGGACCGUGUGAAUUGUCAAUCUAUCUCAAAAUCUUUCAUUCUCAAGGGUUAUUAACUGCCUGUUGGAAGACUGUUUCUCUCUCUGUAUUUGACGUCCUGUUCUCAUUUUAAAUGCCGUUUGUCAAUUUCAUGUUACAUCACUUUGCUGCCCUCUGCUGGUCAAAGAAUUCAUUUUGGAUUAUAGUCAUGCAAUGCAGGUGAAUGAAGAUUUUAUUUCACUCUGUAUAGCAUUUACAGGCUGUAUACAAAUAGUUAAGAGAUGGUUUAUCACACAAUUUAAAGCAAUUGUUGCAAGAUUUUCAAGUGUUUGUGACUGAAUUUGUUCAGAGCUAAGCCUCAUCCCGCAAAAAGAAAAACUGAGACUAGAGCAUAAUGUAUGGCAGUACAGAGAUAAAUAUAUAUAAAACAAGUUUUUAUUGGAGAAAGUGGGAUGAUUGACAAAAACUGUACAUUGAUACUCAUUCAAUAUGUCCUUAGAUUUUCAUACGUCUGAAUCACAUCAGAGGACCUUCAUAUGAAUUUGAUUUGACUCCAUGUUCCCAUGUCCCAAGUAAAUUUGGACUAUUUUCAAAGAUCUAAACUUAUUUAUUGUGGUAUUUUAUUGGAACAUCUGCAAUGUUGUCCAAAUAUAAUGAGAUAAAUGAGUCAAUAUUGCUUAAAAUAAGAAAAUAUACUCAUUAUCAUGGGAAAACAGAGUUUUAUUUAAUUCAAGGAUGCAUGUUUUCUUAAAGCUCUCAUAGUUAAGACUUUUUCAAUUAUAUUUAUUUGCUACUAUAAGGCCAAAUAGUGGUGAUUAAAAUAAAGUUUCACUGAAAAGGGUAAAAAUCUUUAUUUCUUGUGUUCCCUUUUUGGAUACUAAUGAAAGAAAUUAUGUUUUGCUUUUUUGUGUGGUUUACAAAAAGAAAAACUGUCAUUUUUCUCUGCUCUCACACGUUACUGAAAACUCUUUUCUGCAACCAAAUAAUUUGUUUGAGAAUAUUUUUAAGCCAUCUGUUGUUUUGAAGCUGAGUUUCAGCGCGCAGAUUGUUUCUGAACUGAUAAUUUAUUUCAUAUUUUGACCAGUCUCAUUUAUAACAGCAUUUGCUGUUUUGUCACAGGGACAAAUUAUUUCUUAUAAAGCUUUCUAACCUGCUUUAUGACAAGUUUAUUGAUGAGUCAUCCUUUCUCAGUGUCUCUUGAUGUGUUUUUCGUGUUGGUCUGUGUCCAGGAGUUUUAGCAGGUUUGAAUAUUUUUUGCAUCCUGAUAACAAUCACUACAAUGUUACAAACAAGCAACCAACAAAAACAAGAUACUACAGGCAACUAUUAAAGAGAAGCUUGAUAUUUUACACCAAGAAUUUAUAUUUUGAUGAAAAUGCAUAUUCCGUAUUUAAGAAAUACUAUUUUGAAAAAGGGCCAUCAAACUUUUCUCGGGUGAUUGAUUAUCAAUAAAGUAU
Molecule: long non-coding RNA, 2836 nt
Organism: Cheilinus undulatus (humphead wrasse)
Lineage: Eukaryota; Metazoa; Chordata; Actinopteri; Labriformes; Labridae
Exons: 4
Source: RefSeq, a predicted model, not a curated record